This 4768-nucleotide small RNA is filed under the name Pan troglodytes (chimpanzee). RNAcentral describes it as "retained intron". Lineage: Eukaryota; Metazoa; Chordata; Mammalia; Primates; Hominidae. The record is from RNAcentral.
UACACGCCUGUAGUCCCAACUACUCGGGAGGCUGAGGUGGGAGGAUUGCUUGAACCCAGGAGGCAGAGGCUGCAGUGAACCGAGAUCAUGUCACUGUACUCCAAUCUGGGCGACAGAGCAAGACCCUGUCUCAAAAAAAAAAAAAAAAAAAAAAAAAGUUGGGGGAAGCAUUCCAUGUGCAGAUGGAAGGACUGGCCUGAGUCAAGGUGGGAGGCGUGCAAACGCAGGCUCUCACAGUGCGUGGCCAGCAGCGUGGGCCCCGGCACGGGGCAUGGAGCAGAGUAGACAGUGCUGAGUCCUGCUCACUGUCCUGUCUGGGGAGUCAUCACAUCUACUGGAGGUGGCUCAGGGCAGGCUCUGUCUCUUGCCCAGGGCAGCAGGGUGGGCCCUGUGGCUGUACUCUUUGUUGCUGCCCUAAAGUGCCAAGAGAACUUGUUUUGGAAUCAUAAAUCCUGAGUUUGCAGCCUGUUGCUCUCAACUCUUCCCUGGUUGUGUGACCUCAGGCAAGUCACCCUUUCUGGUUUGUUUUCCCAUCUGCAAAACAGGAUGAGAGCCAGUAAGGCCCCUUCCCGCCCUCAAGUUCUAUGUCUCUGGUGGCUUUAAAGGUGGAGUCGUUUCUGCUGCUCAUCUGCAGUGCCGAGUGGCAGUGCCUCAUCCCACUCUCAGUCCCUGACCUGGAGGGUGGGUUUAUACCUUGGACCACAGUCAGAGGUGCCGGGUUCUCAGCGGCCCCCAUCUUGGUCCAAGGCUGGGCCUCUCACCUGCCCCUCUCUCUCCCCUCAGUGGUGGCUGGACCUCGUGGAAGCCCCUCUGGCUGUGUGGCUAUGGACUCACGCAGAGCACUGUCGGCAUCAUCGGGCUGGGGCGCAUAGGUGAGGCUCCCACCGGCCCGCUUGCCCGCCCCGGCUCUCACAGCGUGGUUUGCAUCCCUGGCACCACGUGUCUGAAGGCUGAGAAGACCCGCAUGCUGUCAGGGCACUUUGCUUACAGUAGAGGUAUUUCUAGUGAGGGAUACCGCUUUGUAAAACACAGGCAAAUACAUAAAUAAACCAAAGCAGGAUUCCUUAAGAACUCACCAGGUGAUAAAAGCAAGUUGCCUAAGGGUCAGGGGGCUUCAUGAUUCCGGCUCCAUAAAGAACAGAUGAAGACUACAAAUGUGUCGGGGCCGUUAGGAGUGGUUACCGUGAGAGAGCCCAUUCCCCCGACACCUACUGCGGCUUGUGUUCUGGAAGGUAUGUGACUCACAAAGCCCUAACUCGGGCCAGAGGGCUCAGUGGGCAGAGUUGAUCUGCAGUUCUGCAGCUGAGGCAGAGACACUUUUCUUCCAGUGGCCCUUAUUUGGAGAAGCCUGGCAGAAGGGCUUGGGCCUAGCCAAGCAGCUAUCUAUUGGUGGUUCUCUGUCAUCCUGCCUGGUGCAGGAGUGCGGGUGAGGGUGGAGAGUGUGGAGAACCUGUCUAGCCAACGAACAGCCCUGCCUCUCACUAGAAAGUUGCUUGGAGGAACCCAACAGCUUUGGGGCACGUUCUGAGCCUGAAAAUCCAACUGUACAAAUCUGUCUCAGCAGCAGCUUACAUGAAAAUUGUAAGUUUGGGGUGAGCUGGCAGUUUGGCAGUGCCACCAAAAAGUCAAAUGGGGUCUGAGACUGCAUUCACAGAAGCAGAGGGUCCAGGACAAAGGAGGGGACUGCUUGACCAGGUGUCUCCUUUGUGAAAACCUCUCCAGUUCUCAGAGGUUAGGAAAAACCUGAGUGGCUUUCCAGAUGGCUUGGACCAUGUGAGGACAGCAUCAGCCAGUCACAGCCUCAGGGGAGCUGAGGUGCUGUCUCCAGAUCCCUGGGGCAGUGUGGGCUGGCUGGGGGCUAGUUACAGUGGGGCAGCCAGCCCCCCACCCGCUUUGGAGGAGACAGGAGCAGGCAACUCGGGCUGUGCUGAUGAAAAGGGUCUGCCCUGAGGGCCGCUGUUCCGGAAAUGCUGGGUGGUGUCCCUACCCUUUGUGGGACUGGGAACGAGACAUGGACUCUCCUUGCUCUAGGCCAGGCCAUUGCUCGGCGUCUGAAACCAUUCGGUGUCCAGAGAUUUCUGUACACAGGGCGCCAGCCCAGGCCUGAGGAAGCAGCGGAAUUCCAGGCAGAGUUUGGUAAGUGAAGCCUUGAUUUCCACAGGAGCCUAUCUGUGCCCAGUUGAGAGGCUGUAUUUUCUCUCAAUGGUGGCAUUUUCAGGCAGAGGGCAGGAGCUCCAGGCAUGUCCAGGGGCUGCUGUCUGGUAGAUGUUUAAUCUACCUGCCCCUGGACACCGGCCCACUCAGGGGGCACAGGGACUUACCCAGGUCCUCUCCGAGCCAGCAGAGCAGUCCAGGGCUCCCGUCUUUCAGAGUCCUUUGUUACCAUUCCCCAUUGUGGGCGGAGCAGCGGGGAUGGUGGUGGGUGUGAGGAAGGGCUGGGCACUUUCACUGUCUUUUCCUUCAUAAACUGGCAAGCACUACCCUAGCCUUUGUGUGCGCCCCUUAGUCCAGGCGGAUCCAGCACCUGGCGGGUCCACAGCCUGGUGAGCAGAUGGCAGGCUGGAUCUCAAGCAUUCCCCACGCCCCUGGGCAUUUUGGGCCCUGAAGGUAGUUAAAGCCAGAGUGGUCCAGAUCCCACUGUGUGUGAUUUGACUUUGUGCACUCAUGAGAGUUGUCCAGGUAGAGACUCGGCCUUCAGGAAGCAUCUUGGGAGUUUCUGUUAGGGAGUCGGGAGCAAGGGGCUGGUCUCCCGCCAUCUGGUUGUCCCUAGCCUGGGACUCAGUGCCUGAUGGAGUCCUGCCCUCCCUCAGUGUCUACCCCUGAGCUGGCUGCCCAAUCUGAUUUCAUCGUCGUGGCCUGCUCCUUAACACCUGCAACCGAGGGACUCUGCAACAAGGACUUCUUCCAGAAGAUGAAGGAAACAGCUGUGUUCAUCAACAUCAGCAGGUAUCCUAGGGCCACCUUACCCAGCAAGCCUGGAGAGGAGCCAUCCCCACUGCUGCCAUCUGGAGAUUUUCUUCCCCGUGGGUUGUUGGUGAGACCCCAGGCUGAGCUUGCUGGUUUCCAUAAACCAAACAACCAACUCAGAAAUUCGUGGGAAUACACGAGACCUCCGUACAGGGAAGAAGAGCCAUCAGAGUGGGCCUGGCCUGUCUGCUUCUCAGCAGUGGCCCCCACCUGGCGGGGCCUGGCACACAGCAGCGUGGCUUCAGGGAGUGUUCCCAGGGAGCCUCUGCAGGCCCAUUAUCCUCCACCACAAAGGGCUGGACUUCAGGAUCUGAAGGGCCCUCUGGAGGCCGCCUCCCACACUGCUGAGCCUGGCUUUGUCUGGCUGUGGUUCAGUGAUACUUUGAACCUUAUGCUCCUGGGUGGACAGACCCUAAAACUCACGUGGUCGUAGCUCCUCACACUGUCCCUAGGGGUGCCUUCAGGCCACUGGGCAUGUAUGGAGGUCAGACCUUCCUUCUCUGCCACUCCAAGCCCUUCCUAGCUGGUGCCCCUUGAGCCUGUUUACAUCAGUUUAGGGGAAGGGGGAUUGGGUGAGGUCAUCCUGAGGACUCGUCCACCCCAAAGGUACCUGUAAUUACCAACAUUUAGCUACAAAAUAGGUGACCUGGGAAUGGAAGAGUGAAACAUGCAGGACCACAGGGCUCGCACUGCUGGCUGGCAGCAGUCACAGCUGCCGUGUACUGGGUGCCUGCGUGUACCCAGGACAGCCCAGGACCCUGUAUUACUCAUUAGUGCACAAGUAUUACUUAGUGCACAAUAUACAGUCUCUAGAAGAUGACUUCUUGCCUUCAGUCGCCGCUCCCUUUGAUGGCUGUAGUUAGGGGUGUGCUCGUUCCUCUGCCCUGGUUUAGACAGGUACCUGAUAGCACACUGUGGUGCUUCUCAGUGGGGGUCUGGGGGUCAACCAGAUCAGAAACACUUGGAUGGGGCCUAACACAGAUGCCCUUCUGGGCCCUGUUCAUGCAGUAGAGCAUGUAAGAAAGCUUUAAUCCUCCCAACAUGCCUGGGAGUUAGGUUGUAUUCUCCUUAUCUCACAGAGUAGAUAAUUUGAGACACAGAUAAUUCGAGGCACAGAGAAUUUGAGACACUUGCCCAAGGUCACACAGCUAGAAGGAGGCAGGGCUGGAGUUCUCUGAGUAUAUAAGACUUACAGACAUACUGUAAGUAUACCUAAGACUUACUGCUUUAAAAGUCAGUGCCAAGUGAGUGGAAAAAUUCAUUCUGUAGGUUGUUCUGCCUCAAAGGUGGCCUGGGCGGAGGGAUCUUCGGGGUACCCAUGUCACCACUGUCAUUCCCAGGGGCGACGUCGUAAACCAGGACGACCUGUACCAGGCCUUGGCCAGUGGUAAGAUUGCAGCUGCUGGACUGGAUGUGACAAGCCCAGAACCACUGCCUACAAACCACCCUCUCCUGACCCUGAAGAACUGUGUGAUCCUGCCCCACAUUGGCAGUGCCACCCACAGAACCCGCAACACCAUGUCCUUGUUGGCAGCUAACAACUUGCUGGCUGGCCUGAGAGGGGAGCCGAUGCCUAGUGAACUCAAGCUGUAGCCAAACAGUAGAGAUGGAGGGCCGGGAGGCAAACCGUGCCCUGGUAUUGUCAGACACACCCAGGCUUGAUUUGGAUCCACAGGCAGAGCCAAGGGAAGGUGUGAUUCUCUUGAGGAAAGAGUGAUUCUGAUAUAUGUACUUGUCACAUUGGUGUUGGACACAUUUGCGCCAAAAGUAUGGUAAUUCUAUUAUUAAAUAAUUCUCUGAG